CAGAGAUUGGAGGAAAGCCACAAGCUGGGAGAAAGAGGCCUGUCAUGCAUUCCCCCGCACGGCCUUCCAAAGACAGGUGGCUCUGCCAACUCUGUUAUUGGUACCUGUGCUCUCCAGCACUACCUUAAAGCUCCAGAUGUUCUCCACAGUCGUCUUUCUGGUGUUCAGGCACGUUCCAGGGAGAGCUGCAAUCGCCAGCCACACUGGACUAGUCUAGAUGCUUCUGCAAGGGCAACGCCUGAGCAGCCAUGAAGAAACUGAGGCCAGAAGCAGUUAAACCGGUCCCAACCGCACCUCUGUGGCCCUUAGCAAGGUGUUGAUGCGAAGCAGGCGCUCAGCCGCUCUG
Molecule: long non-coding RNA, 346 nt
Organism: Ochotona princeps (American pika)
Lineage: Eukaryota; Metazoa; Chordata; Mammalia; Lagomorpha; Ochotonidae
Exons: 3
Source: RefSeq, a predicted model, not a curated record